This 163-nucleotide ribosomal RNA is filed under the name Microcaldota archaeon. RNAcentral's name for it is "partial 16S ribosomal RNA". It matches the Rfam family "Archaeal small subunit ribosomal RNA", at positions 1268 to 1432 of the family's 1478-position model. The record is from RNAcentral. Lineage: Archaea; Nanobdellati; Microcaldota.
UCACCCUCAUGAAGAUGGAAUCCCUAGUAAUCGCGAGCCAUCAUCUCGCGGUGAAUGCGUCCCCGCUCCUUGCACACACCGCCCGUCAAGUCACCCAAAUGUUUCUCCGGUGAGGCCUAGGUUCUUGCCUAGCUCGAACCGAAGGGACGUGAGGGGGGCUAAG